AAGCGUUAGAAAACGGUAGGAGGCAAUUCUCGCCCUUACAAGGCGAGGGUCACAGGUUCAAGUCCUGUUCCGCCUACCA
RNAcentral lists this transfer RNA (79 nucleotides) under Deltaproteobacteria bacterium RBG_19FT_COMBO_60_16. RNAcentral describes it as "tRNA-Val". The record is from RNAcentral. Lineage: Bacteria; Deltaproteobacteria.